RNAcentral lists this ribosomal RNA (279 nucleotides) under uncultured bacterium. RNAcentral describes it as "partial 16S ribosomal RNA". It matches the Rfam family "Bacterial small subunit ribosomal RNA", at positions 506 to 784 of the family's 1533-position model. The record is from RNAcentral.
UGCCAGCCGCCGCGGUAAUACGAAGGGUGCUAGCGUUGUUCGGAAUCAUUGGGCGUAAAGGGCACGCAGGCGGUCUUGUCAGUCAGAUGUGAAAGCCCGGGGCUCAACCCCGGACGUGCAUUUGAAACAGCAAGACUUGAGUACGGUAGAGGAAAGCGGAAUUCCUGGUGUAGAGGUGAAAUUCGUAGAUAUCAGGAGGAACACCGGUGGCGAAGGCGGCUUUCUGGACCGAAACUGACGCUGAGGUGCGAAGGCGUGGGUAGCGAACAGGAUUAGAUA